RNAcentral lists this ribosomal RNA (205 nucleotides) under uncultured bacterium. Its description in RNAcentral is "partial 16S ribosomal RNA". It matches the Rfam family "Bacterial small subunit ribosomal RNA", at positions 524 to 728 of the family's 1533-position model. The record is from RNAcentral.
UACGGAGGGUGCGAGCGUUGCCCGGGAAUCAUUGGGCGUAAAGGGCGCGUAGGUGGCCUGCUAAGCGUGCGGUGAAAGUCGGGGGUCAACCCCCGAUCGGCCGUGCGAACUGGGAGGCUUGAGCACUGUAGAGGCAGGCGGAAUUCCGGGUGUAGCGGUGGAAUGCGUAGAGAUCCGGAAGAACACCGGUGGCGAAGGCGGCCUG